This 548-nucleotide long non-coding RNA is filed under the name Olea europaea subsp. europaea. The record is from RNAcentral. Lineage: Eukaryota; Viridiplantae; Streptophyta; Magnoliopsida; Lamiales; Oleaceae.
AUAUCAUAAGCUUUACAGGGAGGAUACUUUGAGUGAGAAUUUGAGAGAUUGAAAAUCCGAAAAAUGUUCAGAUGACCAACAAACAGAUACUUAUUCAUCAUUAAACUUAAUAAAUGGGAAAGAAACUCCCUGCAGAUAGCAUGCUUGUCUAAGGUUAUAAGGUGCUAUAAGCACCUUGUAGGAUAAUAGCACUUUAUAAGCAUAGCCAAACAUGCUUUUUAUAUAUUCUGAUUCAGGGAGGACAGGAUCUUACAUUUCAUGUUGCAUCUACAUCUACAUGGUGCUCACCCCUCACAAAUAUUGCACUUGAAAAAACUCCAUGGUUUUGACCACUCCAUCCAUAAUUUCAAUCUGACUGGCAACUUGCAUGUCCUUGACUGAUGGGGGGCUGAUUAAUUCUAUCUUAAACACACUGCUCUGUGUGGAAAAAGCAGGCCUUGAAGAAAUGUUAUGAUAUUAUUAGUUAAUAAAAUAAUAAUACAUAAAUGAAGACUUUCUUAAGCUCUUUAAAUCUUAUCUGGAAUUUAUUACUCUAGCAGCAUCACAAG